AACUCUUGACAAUGGAUAUCUCAGAUCUCUCAAUAUUAAAGAAUAUAGCAAAAUAUGAUACUUGGUUUGAAUAGCAGAAUCCCAUGAACUAUUUAGUUUUUGAACACAAGUUGCACCCAAAGACAUUAAGUUGAGGAAAUAUCUGGCUGGGCAUCA
This 156-nucleotide ribosomal RNA is filed under the name Capsicum annuum. RNAcentral describes it as "5.8S ribosomal RNA". It matches the Rfam family "5.8S ribosomal RNA". Rfam says of the family: 5.8S ribosomal RNA (5.8S rRNA) is a component of the large subunit of the eukaryotic ribosome. Lineage: Eukaryota; Viridiplantae; Streptophyta; Magnoliopsida; Solanales; Solanaceae. The record is from Rfam by way of RNAcentral.